GACGAACGCUGGCGGCGUGCUUAACACAUGCGAGUCGAACGGAAAGGCCCUGCUUUUGUGGGGUGCUCGAGUGGCGAACGGGUGAGUAACACGUGAGUAACCUGCCCUUGACUUUGGGAUAACUUCAGGAAACUGGGGCUAAUACCGGAUAGGAGCUCCUGCUGCAUGGGGGGGGUUGGAAAGUUUCGGCGGUUGGGGAUGGACUCGCGGCUUAUCAGCGUGUUGGUGGGGUAGUGGCUUACCAAGGCUUUGACGGGUAGCCGGCCUGAGAGGGUGACCGGCCACAUUGGGACUGAGAUACGGCCCAGACUCCUACGGGAGGCAGCAGUGGGGAAUAUUGCACAAUGGGCGGAAGCCUGAUGCAGCAACGCCGCGUGCGGGAUGACGGCCUUCGGGUUGUAAACCUCUUUCGCCUGUGACGAAGCGUGAGUGACGGUAAUGGGUAAAGAAGCACCGGCUAACUACGUG
RNAcentral lists this ribosomal RNA (468 nucleotides) under uncultured bacterium. RNAcentral describes it as "partial 16S ribosomal RNA". It matches the Rfam family "Bacterial small subunit ribosomal RNA", at positions 28 to 507 of the family's 1533-position model. The record is from RNAcentral.